This 3445-nucleotide ribosomal RNA is filed under the name Roseovarius pelagicus. Its description in RNAcentral is "Roseovarius sp. HL-MP18 23S ribosomal RNA". It matches the Rfam family "Bacterial large subunit ribosomal RNA". The record is from RNAcentral. Lineage: Bacteria; Pseudomonadati; Pseudomonadota; Alphaproteobacteria; Rhodobacterales; Roseobacteraceae.
AAUCAAGCGCGAAAAGGGCGUUUGGUGAAUGCCUUGGCAGUAAGAGGCGAUGAAGGACGUGAUACUCUGCGAUAAGUCAUGGGGAGCUGAGAAUAAGCUUUGAUCCAUGAAUUUCCGAAUGGGGCAACCCACCUGAUACUGUGUUAUUACUACUCUUCGGAGUGGCUAAUAAUGCGGUAAAACAGGUACUUAUAGACUGAAUACAUAGGUUUAUAAGAGCAAACCCGGAGAACUGAAACAUCUAAGUACCCGGAGGAAAGGACAUCAAUUGAUACUCCCCUAGUAGCGGCGAGCGAACGGGGACCAGCCGAGCCAUGAAUGUGAAUAGAACGUGUUGGGAAGCACGGCCAUAGUGGGUGAUAGCCCCGUAUAUGAAGCAUGAUUGGACGUAUUAAGUAGGGCGGAACACGUGAAAUUCUGUCUGAAGAUCGGAGGACCACCUUCGAAGGCUAAGUACUCCUUACUGACCGAUAGUGAACCAGUACCGUGAGGGAAAGGUGAAAAGCACCCCGACGAGGGGAGUGAAACAGUACCUGAAACCGAACGCCUACAAUCAGUCGGAGCUUGACUGGACUCUAAUGACAAUCUGUUCCAUCUAGUUGUUAACAAGCAAUUAGAGGAAGAUGAGUAUGUCGGAUUUAGCAUUCAUUACGGACGGAGCAGUCGGUGUACUGUUCCUGGUCGCUGGCCUCAUCGAUGCCGGCGUUAACCAUUGUCCGAAUGAAGGUUGUCUCGCAAAAAAUGAAGUUCAAGCCUACAACAGUCUAUCUGUUGGUCAGACAACGUUUCAAAAGAACGUUGUCGGCGAAGAGCUUUACUUUCGGCGGGACACAGGGGUAGCAAACGGUCCAUUUCAAUGGAUUUGGGGUGCCUCUGCAACAAGCGAUGGAGAGCUAUGGGCUGGCGUUGGUCAGGCCGUGACAUUCUCUACGCGAAACGAUCGGUUCUAUACGCAGCUGCACUCAAUGCUCGGCCUUUACGAAAAGGGCGAUGGGGUGGAUCUGGGUGGACCUGUCGAAUUCCGAUCCGGCAUAGAAUUCGGAUAUCAGAAUAAAAUGGGUACUCGCAUGGCGAUCAGCUUUGAUCACCGAUCGAACGCGGGCAUCUAUUCGCUGAACCCCGGACUUGAAACUGUACAGUUUCGGGUCUCUAUCCCAACCAAGUGAUUGUUAUCAGUGUCCAGUCUUGUGACGGCGUACCUUUUGUAUAAUGGGUCAUCGACUUGGUCUAUCUAGCAAGCUUAAGCCGUUAGGUGUAGGCGCAGCGAAAGCGAGUCUUAAUAGGGCGAAUGAGUUAGAUGGAUCAGACCCGAAACCGAGUGAUCUAGGCAUGACCAGGAUGAAGGUAAGGUAACACUUACUGGAGGUCCGAACCCACACCUGUUGAAAAAGGUCGGGAUGAGUUGUGCCUAGGGGUGAAAGGCCAAUCAAACUCGGAGAUAGCUGGUUCUCUGCGAAAACUAUUUAGGUAGUGCGUCAUCCGAAUACCCUCGGGGGUAGAGCACUGGAUGGGUAAUGGGGCCCCACAGGCUUACUGAUCCUAACCAAACUCCGAAUACCGAGAAGUACUAGAUGGCAGACAGACUGCGGAUGCUAACGUCCGUAGUCGAGAGGGAAACAACCCUGACCUACAGCUAAGGCCCCUAAUUCAUGGCUAAGUGGGAAAGCAGGUGGGACGACCAAAACAACCAGGAGGUUGGCUUAGAAGCAGCCAUCCUUUAAAGAUAGCGUAACAGCUCACUGGUCUAAAUAAGUUGUCCUGCGGCGAAGAUGUAACGGGGCUCAAGCCAUGAGCCGAAGCUUAGGAUGCCGUAAGGCAUGGUAGCAGAGCGUAGUGUGACAUAGUUCCAUUCCUCCUUAGCUGGUUUCGACCAGCAUUGGAGGAGAGGAGCUUUCGAUGAAGCGGGCGCGUGAGCGAUCCCGUGGAGAGAUCACUAGUGAGAAUGAUGACAUGAGUAGCGAUAAACAGUGUGAGAGACACUGUCGCCGAAAGUCCAAGGGUUCCUGCUUAAAGCUAAUCUGAGCAGGGUGAGCCGACCCCUAAGGCGAGGCCGAAAGGCGUAGUCGAUGGGAACCAGGUUAAUAUUCCUGGGCCAGAUGGAAGUGACGGAUCGUGAAGGUUGUUCACCCUUAUUGGAUUGGGUGGGCCGCUAAUCGGUUCCUGGAAAUAGCUCCAUCGCUAGAUCGUACCCUAAACCAACACAGGUGGACCGGUAGAGAAUACCAAGGCGCUUGAGAGAACCACAUUUAAGGAACUCGGCAAAAUACCUCCGUAAGUUCGCGAGAAGGAGGCCCGAUUGGGACGCAAGUCUUGGUCGGGGGCACAAACCAGGGGGUGGCGACUGUUUACUAAAAACACAGGGCUCUGCGAAGUCGCAAGACGACGUAUAGGGUCUGACGCCUGCCCGGUGCCUGAAGGUUAAAAGGAGGGGUGAGAGCUCUGAAUUGAAGCCCAGGUAAACGGCGGCCGUAACUAUAACGGUCCUAAGGUAGCGAAAUUCCUUGUCGGGUAAGUUCCGACCUGCACGAAUGGCGUAACGACUUCCCCGCUGUCUCAAAUGUGGACUCAGCGAAAUUGAAUUGCCUGUCAAGAUGCAGGCUUCCCGCGGUUAGACGGAAAGACCCCGUGCACCUUUACUACAGCUUCGCACUGGCAUCAGAAUUGAGAUGUGCAGGAUAGGUGGUAGGCUUUGAAGCAUGAACGCUAGUUUGUGUGGAGCCACCCUUGAGAUACCACUCUUCGCACUUUUGAUGUCUAACCGCGGUCCGUUAUCCGGAUCCGGGACCCUGCGUGGCGGGUAGUUUGACUGGGGCGGUCGCCUCCUAAAGCGUAACGGAGGCGCGCGAAGGUUGGCUCAGAGCGGUCGGAAAUCGCUCGUUGAGUGCAAUGGCAGAAGCCAGCCUGACUGCGAGACUGACAAGUCGAGCAGAGUCGAAAGACGGCCAUAGUGAUCCGGUGGUCCCGAGUGGAAGGGCCAUCGCUCAACGGAUAAAAGGUACGCCGGGGAUAACAGGCUGAUACUGCCCAAGAGUCCAUAUCGACGGCAGUGUUUGGCACCUCGAUGUCGGCUCAUCUCAUCCUGGGGCUGGAGCAGGUCCCAAGGGUACGGCUGUUCGCCGUUUAAAGAGGUACGUGAGCUGGGUUUAGAACGUCGUGAGACAGUUCGGUCCCUAUCUGCCGUGGGUGUAGGAUACUUGAGAGGAGUUGCCCCUAGUACGAGAGGACCGGGGUGAACGUUCCACUGGUGGACCAGUUGUCGUGCCAACGGCAGUGCUGGGUAGCUAUGAACGGACAGGAUAACCGCUGAAGGCAUCUAAGCGGGAAGCCCCCCUCAAAACAAGGUAUCCCUGAGAGCCGUGGUAGACCACCACGUCGAUAGGCUGGAGAUGUAAGUGCAGCAAUGCAUUCAGUUGACCAGUACUAAUUGCUCGAUAGGCUUGAUUUG